AACGAACGCUGGCGGCAUGCCUAACACAUGCAAGUCGAACGAAACCUUCGGGUCUUGUGGCGCUCGGGUGCGUAACGCGUGGUACCCUGCCCUUAGGUUCGGAAUAACUCCCCGAAAGGUGUGCUAAUACCGGUUAAUGUAUUCAUACCAAAGAUUUCUCGCCUUUGGAUGGGCCCGCGUUGGUUUAUCGAGUUGGUAGUGUAAAAGCCUACCAAGGCGACGAUCCAUAGCUGGUCUGUGAGGAUGAUCAGCCACACUGGGACUGGGACACGGACGAGACUCCUACGGGAGGCAGCAGUGGGGAAUAUGGGACGAUGGGCGAGAGCCUGAUCCAGCAAUGCCGCGUGAGUGAUGAAGGCGUUAGGGUUGUAAAGCUCUUUUACACGGGAUGAUAAUGACAGUACCGGGAGAAUAAGCGACGGCUAACUCCGUG
Molecule: ribosomal RNA, 433 nt
Filed under: uncultured bacterium
Lineage: Bacteria
Description: partial 16S ribosomal RNA
Rfam family: Bacterial small subunit ribosomal RNA
Source: RNAcentral